RNAcentral lists this long non-coding RNA (801 nucleotides) under Monodelphis domestica (gray short-tailed opossum). RNAcentral describes it as "lncRNA (ENSMODG00000049462.1)". The record is from RNAcentral. Lineage: Eukaryota; Metazoa; Chordata; Mammalia; Didelphimorphia; Didelphidae.
CUUCCUUUGCUUCUUUCUUUCCUCCUUUUCCUGCUAGGCACAAUUUUGAAGGACUCUCUGAUCUGAAGAGGAACACACACACACACACACACACACACACACACACACACACACACACACACACACCCAACAAACCAGUCAUUGAAUGAAGUCAUCACCUCCUAGGCAAGCCUCUGUGUAAUGAAUCUCUGUUUCUAGUUUAUAUCUAUUUCUCUUUUCAUCUAGGGAUUUACUAAUUCUUAAAGAUUAGAGGAGCCACUGGAAUGGAAUGGCCAUGGCUAGUAAGGACUCAUUUCUGAAGAGUUCUCUGCUUCACCUAGCUCUGCAACUUACCAGUCAAGAGGUAUCAUGCCUUGCAAACAAAGGAGCAAAUGAUCUAUCUAUUAUGUUAUAUCUGGAAGUGAAUUCAGUGUUAGAAAUGUUGGCAGCAAACACUGUGUUUGAAUCCACUUUCUUCUGGCAUCAACGUUAUAGAAAGAAGAGUUUACCCUAUUUCAGGUUUUAAAGCACAGAAACAAAGGAAGAUUCAAAACUAAAACAACCAAAUGAUGAGACUGAUAAUGAACAUUUUAAAUUUAAUCAUAUAUUUUAUCCACGACAUAAUCUACCAUGCUUCAUAGACCAUUACAACAACUGAAAUACUAUAAUUGAAGCCAAAAGAAAAGCCAUACCAUGAGGACAUCAGGAAAUGAUGAAUGAUCCUUCUCUUUGACAAAGAUUUCACAUUUUGUCUCUCUGCCACAUCUGCCUUGGCAAACAAAAUUUAACAAUAACUGAAAAAUAAAGUAAUUUCCCUAAAUG